AGAAAAAGGUAGAUAUUUCAUUUCAAUGAUAUGUUCCAAUAUUCAAAGAGGACAUUUUAAUAUUUCAAACCCAUUCUAGGAAUAAGGGAGCUAGCGUUCAUGGUUGAAAGACCCCGACUAGACAACCGACAUUAAAACGACCCGACCGACCCAGACCCGGACCUCGCACAUGACUCAAGGAAAAAUAUCUCACCGGAACCCCGUAAUUCUGACGAGACAACCGACAUUAAAAUGGCUCAUUUAUAGACACCAAACGGACAAGGCACUUGACUCCCCUUCCCGAAAAAGCUUCACCAAUUCCCGUAUCCCAAAUAACACCUCAUCUUGAAACUUAGUCGUACAACCAACCACCCCUAAUCGAUCAAGUUACAAGAGAGAUGGGCUGGAAUACUCCAUUUUCCUCUACCCACAGACUUCGUCUCACCAACGAUCCGCUGCAACCUACACUAGCCAUCCUGUAGCCCAAGAACAACAAUUGCGGUUCACUCAUUGGCUUUGAACAAUAACUCAAACACUCUCGAAAACUCUUGGCAUGUUCCUGAACUCGUUGGCCGAACAAACAAUGCAACCUUCCACGAAACAGUCUAUGGAGAAUCUCCAUACUAACACUAGGCAGAUUGGAUUCUGUUUCGCUUACCAAACGUUGGACCAAACAAGUCCGCGCAGUCACUCUGUAGGUGCUAGUGUGGAUCGACACCACUAUGAGUGAGCCUUUGUAACACCUGUAUCUGAAAUUUUGGUGGUGUCGACCGACACCAGUUUUGGGUGUCGAUCGACACCAACAAAAUUGGGUUAGACGGUUUAGUUUUUAAAUUGUCGGUUUGACUCAAUUUUUGUUUGGGAGCAAUCCUAGGUCGACUUAAACUAGAGCAGCCAUCUUUAUUCUUCA
Molecule: long non-coding RNA, 889 nt
Organism: Capsella rubella
Lineage: Eukaryota; Viridiplantae; Streptophyta; Magnoliopsida; Brassicales; Brassicaceae
Exons: 2
Source: RefSeq, a predicted model, not a curated record